GAUGAACGCUGGCGGCGUGCUUAACACAUGCAAGUCGAACGAAGCAAUUUAUUUCGAUCCCUUCGGGGUGACGAAUUUAUUGACUGAGUGGCGGACGGGUGAGUAACGCGUGGGUAACCUGCCUUACACAGGGGGAUAACAGUUAGAAAUGACUGCUAAUACCGCAUAACCCGCUAGUACCGCAUGGUACGGACGGAAAAGAUUUAUCGGUGUAAGAUGGACCCGCGUCUGAUUAGCUAGUUGGUGAGGUAACGGCUCACCAAGGCGACGAUCAGUAGCCGGCUUGAGAGAGUGAACGGCCACAUUGGGACUGAGACACGGCCCAGACUCCUACGGGAGGCAGCAGUGGGGAAUAUUGGGCAAUGGGGGAAACCCUGACCCAGCAACGCCGCGUGAAGGAAGAAGGCCUCGGUUGUAA
RNAcentral lists this ribosomal RNA (418 nucleotides) under uncultured bacterium. RNAcentral's name for it is "bacterial SSU rRNA". It matches the Rfam family "Bacterial small subunit ribosomal RNA", at positions 28 to 428 of the family's 1533-position model. The record is from RNAcentral.